This 334-nucleotide unclassified non-coding RNA is filed under the name Hevea brasiliensis (rubber tree). The record is from RNAcentral. Lineage: Eukaryota; Viridiplantae; Streptophyta; Magnoliopsida; Malpighiales; Euphorbiaceae.
AAUGUGACAUUACAGCAUAUACUGUAACAAAUCAAAUUGCAUUGCUAAAAUGUUACCAUUUACCAUUAGAAAUGAACAUGAAGUGAGUUUUAAUGGAAGAUGGUGCUUAGUUAGAGACAGCACAAAUUCAUCAGUCCAAGCUUUUAAGAAGCACUUUUGGUCACAAAGUCUGCAAGUUGCAAUUCUAUAGUGUGAUCAGAAUCAACCAUCAGAUCUGCUGCAAGAAGACUAUGAUUUCCUUUUGCAUCAACUUUGAGUACUUGUCAUUGUGAUUAAAUGGCCAACAAUAGCUGUCACAAUCCCAAGCAAGCCACCAGCAAUAACCUGAGGAGGA